CCCAGAAAAAGAAAAAAAGAACAUUGUUCUGAAGAAAGAAAUGCUUCCUUGGAAUGGCCACUAAGGUAGAAGGCAAGGCGGAAGGAGAGAGAACCUGCAGAUUCUGCACUCCUAGAUACUGCAAAAAGGGACAACAUAAUGACAGCAAAUAUAGAAGACGGUGCCAUGCAGAUCAAGGUUUGCUACAGAAGUAUAUUAAAAUCCCCUAGAGAUGCCAUAGAUAACUUUUUAAAAUAACAAAUUUCAUGACGGAUGAAUCUAUCCGCAGUUAAAUAGAACCUUCAUGAAGAGAGGCAGUAUACCUCUGAGUGUCAGAUGGUGGGAACAGAGGAGGUCUGUUGUCCUCAUGUCCUAUUUUGAGCUGGGUAGCCACUGUUGGAAAAAUGAAGGUGGACUAGAUAGACCGUUUAUGCUACUGUCAGGGCAAUACUUUGGGGCAGAUGUCCAGGGCCCACUCUGUGCAGUGAGGAGCCCCCACCAAAUGCAUCAGGGCUGGCUUACCACAUUUUGAAGCAAACUACCAUCUGAAGAAGAUGGUACCACUGAUAUGGACCUAGAUCAGAGCCAGCCAAUGAUUGUUUGUGUGGGAGUUCCCACCACACUACAUCAGCUCCCAAAUUUGGCUAGGUUCAACAAGACCCAUUCCAGAAGUAGGCGAAGGUGGCUACAUGCCAGGACCCUAAAAUGGAGGGAAGGGGCCACCAUCCCAAAAGCACCAUCGUCCUUGCUUUUGCACCGAGCACCCAGGAUGGUCAAAUGCAGUGUCAGCAGAUUCUGAGUCUGUGCACUCCAACUCUUCCAGGUUAAAGAAAGUGGUGCACUGUCCAAAGACACAUCCCCCAAAUAAAACCCCACUGGACUUGAAAAGGGAGCUCAACCAUUGUGCUGAAGAUGUGACAAAAUGUCAUGAUGGGGAGAUGGUGGAGCGUUGAUGGUUAGAAUUGAAAUGCUUCAGCCUUGUGGGAUAUUCACAUCUCAGCAGCUACUGUGUUCAUGAGUUGAAAUUCAAUUUGCCUGUUAAAUUAAUUUGAGCUCCUUUUUCUUAACCGCUAUCUUGUACAACGUGACAACAGCAAACGGAUAGAUGAGAGGUUCUCAGCACCUUAACAGUUUUUUUUCCUGUUUGCGGCUUGGGAGUUUGCAAGAAAAGGGAAACGCAUCAUUGUGCAAGCCUUGAGUAGAAAGGGUGGAUUUCAAUAGCAGGGGUGUGUGUUAAGCCACAUGGUAAAAAAAAGGUCAAACUAGGAGCACCUAAAUCCACUCGUAGAGAAUUCGUAACAUGCUUCGGUCCCAGACGGACAGACCUGGGGUCUGGAUGGUCAGCCAAGGAUUUAAGUCUUCAGCCGCCUCUCCAUAAUCAGCAAAGCUGCACGUUCUAAUGAGAAAAUCCUCUUAAAACUCCAGGAAGAAAGUGAAUCUUGUUCAAAGCAGCUGGAUUUUCUUGCUGCAUGCGUAGGAUGACUGCUGGGAUGAGCUUGUUGGUAGAAAAAGGACAGAACAAGGAAGAAAAGGAACAGGAGCUCCGCCUUCCCUUCUGGAGAAAAGUGGAUAGAAUAAUAAUGCAGAGAUGGAAGGGAAUGACUUGGUGAGGGUAGGGAUCUCAAGCACCCGGAAAUCUCAUGUUGGCAAAUAGGAAUUAAGGGUCCGCACUGACCAGAAGAUUCAAUUCAGACCUCCAUUGGGUGCUUUGGAAAAUAGCCCCCCAGAUCCAAAUCACUUUGUAGACUGCCAAAUUUAACUCAGGGGUCCAUUCAAAGCUGCUUUACCUUUUCCCUGCCCCAAUUCAUUUCUGGAAAAUGGGGGGGCACUUUUGACUUUCCCCCUCUUUUGGCAGAAAUGGAUGAAAUUUGCAAACACACUAGCCCCUCCAAAGUGGGUGAAGUUUGCCCUAGUACAGAGAAAUAGAUCCUGCAGCUUUUGUAUUGAGCACCUCUAAAGUCUGAUAUUUUCGGGUAGAACUGGAUUAAAUUUGUAGGAGAGGUCGCACCUUCUGAAGGCCUGAAUCCUGCCAAAUCUCAUAAUAGCUGCUGAUCUGAAAAUUGCAGACAUGAGAGAAGGGCCACUGGGUAAGAAACCUGACAAACUGAAGGCAGUUGGGUAUAGGGGCUUUUGUGCUAGGCUUUCUUUAAAUUUUAUUUUCAUGUCAGAAGAGAAGAAAGCUAAGGGGAAUCUUCACAGUCAGAGGCUGUGCGCCUCUGAAUACCAGCUGCUGGGUGUGCAGUGCAAACUCUGCCUUCAGGUCAUGUUUCCUGACUUCCUGGAGCAUAUACAUGGCCACAGUUGGAAACCUUUUGCUGGACUAGAUGUGAUACAGGGACUUAAUCUGCAAACAGGUUGCUGAGAUAUUACAAUAUAGGAUAUGCAAUAUAGUGUGCCAUUGUGAACUAGGUGUGAUGCAAUUAGGCUAGGAUCUGGGGGACUAGGGUUCAAUUCCCACCCAGCCAUGAAACUCAUUGGGUGACUGUCACUGCCUCUAGGGAAGUUUUUAAUGUCUGAUGUUUUAUUGUGUUUUUAAUAUUCUGUUGGGAGCCACCCAGAGUGGCUGGAGAGGCCCAGCCAGAUGGGCAGGGUAUAAGUAAUAAAUUAUCACCAUCAUCAUCAUCAUCAUCUCAGCCUACCCUACAUCAGAGGGUCGUUGUGGGGAUUAAAUGAGAGGGAGGGAGAAUCAUGUACACCACCUUGAUAUCCUUGAAGAAAAAGAUGGGCUAUAAAUGCAAUAGAUGAUAGACAGACAGCAGAAUUAAAUAAGGGCAUGGAUAUUUUUUUCAAUGAUCAAGGAGGCAAUGAUCUUGUGCAGAUGCGGCAAAAAACUUGCAUGCAUGAGGAGCACCAAUCCUACAGUCAACACUUGUCUGGAAGCAGCCUAGAUCAGCCUCUGGUUCUGACCCAGCAGGGCUCCUCUUAUGUAGUGUUGGGAAAGGACGUUACAAGGAGAAAGAAACUUCACUUAUAGAGAGAGGAAGGGCUGUACGCUAAGAGAAAUUGAGAGGAGAGGAGAGGGAGCUCUGGAGACCAAGACUUCUGGGCCAGGGAGCCGAACAAGCAGGGAAGCCAAAGAAGUAGGGAGCCCACAUUUCGUACGGAUUGGAACAAAUCAGCUAAAUCGUUGGCUGCAGGUUUUUUCGUUUCAAAUAUUUAUUCACUGCUGUGGAGCGCAAGUGCUUGAAAUAUUGAUGUUGGAGGGCUACGGUUUUGAAAUAUACAUCUUUUCUCCCCAAGCCCUGCCAGUGGGUUACCUGCGUUGUGGCAUUACUUCUUAGACCAGGUAUGGGGGACCCGAGGCCCUAUAGGUGUUGCUGAAGUACAGCUCCCCUCAUCCGUAGCCAUUGGCCAUGCUUACCGUGGCUGAUGGAGUUCACACCUGGUGGAGAGCUCCUCUUUAACUUUCAGGGUUGGCCAAAGACAUUUUGCAGCCUGAGGCAAAGAACAAGAUGGUUCUCUCCCAUUCCAUGUACAAAAGUCAACCAGACUGGUAGCGGAAUCUUCCUGCACCAGGCUGGUGAUGGGACAGUAUGUUUUACUACAGCUCAGGGCGGUAGGCCAGCUUAGGAGGCACAGGGGAGGGCAGCUGCCUCAUUUUGCCCAAUGGUAGCGCUGGCCCUAUAUAUGUGCUAUGGGAUAAUUCACCCUGAAAGCAAGUGCUCUGGAUAUGAAUCAUCUUUCCUCUGGAGACGCAACUAAGCCGACGCCCACUGGAGAAGCAUUGCAAGGUCUUUCCUAUUUGAUCUGGUGUCAGGGUGGCUGGAAUUGGACCUUUGAAUCAGGCCUGAGGUUUUUAUUCUCCUUGUGUAUUUUCCUUUUGUAUUCUCUCAUCAGAACUUGAAUCUGUGGUCUAGAAGUCCACAGUUGUCUGACAAAAGUAAAGGUGGCACUGUGAAAUGGAAUGCUGCCUCCUAAUCUAUAGCCUUAUGAUGCAUUGCUCACGUGAUGCCAGUUCUUCUCCAUCUGCAUCUUGACAGCAAAUUAGGUACGACCAAGGAUUUAUAUAUGCUGCAAUUACAUGACCACAUCAAAUAAGUGUGGCAGUGCCCUUAAGGGAAACAUGCAGUGUUCUCUUUAAAAAACAAACAAUAUUCUAGUCCUUAAAGUCUGCAAACGCAGGAAUGAAAGUAUGUAGGCAAUGCAUAGUUUAUUUUAUUUUAGGUAUGAUUCCAUUGAGCCAGAGCCUAACUAAACAUUACAGUGAUAGACGCUUUCGUUUAAAGACGGCCAUAUCCCAAUCGCAUAUGGAGUGGGGUGGCAUAUCUGAUUAUUUUUCAAAGCAAAAUAAAUACAGUGGUAUCUGGGUUUUCGAACGUCUCUGUUGAUGAACAUUUCGGUUUUCGAACGCCAUAAACCUGAAAGUAAAUGCUUCAGUUUGCCUCGGAAAUCAAACAUGCCACGUGGCUUCCACUGAGUGCAAGAUUCUGAGGCCUAGCUGUCGGCUAUUGAGUUUUCGGUUUUCAAGCGUUUCAGAACUUGAACGGUCUUCCAGAAUGGAUUACGUUCGAAAACCGAGGUACCACUGUAUGUAGGUAAGGGGUACUAAGUAAAAAUUUCAACAGCCCAAUGUGAACUUGAGUGCCCUUUACAUCUCUGUGUUCUUCCAAUUGAGUAGUAAAAGCAAAAUACAUUACACAAAACACACAGAGAGAUACACAUUGUGUACCGCUGGGUGGAGGAGGCAAAGCUCAAACAUGGUCAGUGAGUUAGGGGGUCCAGUUAACAGUCUGGGGUCCUGGAGAGAAGUGGGAUCAAUGAAAAGGUAGUGAGCUUGGCCUGGGGGGUGGAGGAAGGGUCACAGAGGAUUCAAACACAUUAACUCCUAGAAAAGGGAUCCUGGUAGGGUAUCUAAUGAAGGCCAGCCAGCCACAAGGCUUGCAGAACCAUGGACAGAUCACUGGAAAGGAACAAGGAAGUCUUAACUCCAGCCUCUCUCUACACAGAUUCUGAAUACCUCACCCAGCUCCCAACCACUCUCUGCUCAGCAUCUCCAAGUUGCGUUGGAAAAAGCACCCAUAUUAUGUCAAACAGUGGAGGCUGAUCCCUAGGGGGAAAUAGGGCACUGCCAGCCCUCAGCCAAAAAUCAUCCUUCAACCACCUACCCUCUCACAUACAGGCAUCUCCCCACUUACACACCGCGCCGUGAAAUAGUUAAAUAAAUCAAUUUAAACUGCAAAAAGGGCAAGAAUGGCCCCCAAAGAGCAGGAAAGCUGCAAAAAUGGUGCAAAAAGAGCAGGAAGACAGCUAGCAACCCCAUGAGUCUUUGCGUUGACCUUAGAUACCUAUGGAGAGUUGGCACUUGAGAAAGCACUUUGGGGUACCCGUCUGAAGCACAGCCAGGCACUUUGGGGUACUGGUCUUACCCCCCCCCCCCCGUUGUUGUUUGUACAGUGUCCUCCAGUGAUGAGGAAGAUUGAGAAUCACCAUUGCUACCAUUCAUGCCAGUCUGGUAAGUGCUGCUGGGGUUUUUUAAGGGUUUUUCAAGGGCUGCCAGAGGUUUAAAGGGUGUUGGCUGAACAGCACUGCCAAUCACAAAACAUUACUAGGGACAGCAGUUCCAAGAAGAAGAAGAAGAAGAAGAAGAAGAAGAAACUACUCUCACUUAUAGAUAGGAAAGGGUUAAGCAGGGUUAGAGGACUCCCCGCUUUUCCAUUUAUCCUUUUCUGCCCUUCAGUUCCCUGAUCAGUAGCACUAGCCAAUGAGAGGAGUCCCUCGGGGCCCAUUAAGUAACUUUGUGCUGCGGUUCUGAAGAGCUGCCUACCAAUCAGGUGCAUUGUGCCUUCCAUUUCAAUCAUCUUGACCUAUCAGGUACAUUUUCAUUCUGUGGGGGUUGGGGUGGGGUGUUUCUUCUGGGUCUGCAGAAGUUUUUCCUCUCUCUUCCAGUACUGAGACUAAGCAGUAGCCAGUAAGGCUUUCAGUAAAUGGAGAAACUUCUCAGUAAAUGGAUUUUUGUUGUUGUUGUUGUUGUUGUUGUUGUUGUUGUUGUUGUUGUUCUGAUAUGAAGGCAGAAGGCAAGGAAAUACUCUGAGUUAAGUCCCGAUAGGGCACACUGUCCCAAAGGCAAUGUUAAGAGAGCAAUCAGACAGCCCAAUGGACAAAUACAGGUACAGGUCCAAUUCAAUGAGAAAGGUUCAAAGUCAAACCAUAAGGCCAAGUUCCCACCUCAGAAGAUGAUCCAGGGCUGGAAUCCUAAAUUCAGAUUAGAAAUUGCAGUCCAUUGGAGUUCCUGAAGCAGCCAAGCCGUGGUCCACCUACAGUGAAAGUUGAUCAGAAACAGUGUGUCUCCCUUACUUCUCUUUUAUUCUUCCCAGUAUUAUUGAUGCACCUGAGCUUGUUCCAGCUGUGUAGCUGUGUCUCCUCUCCACUUAACAAAGCAUGUGAUCUUCACCAGCGCUUAAUCAAGUUGGUGGCCACAAACCUCCUACAGGAUGAGUCCCAGGAUCUUCACCUGAGCAACUAGUAAGCUGGGCUGUGGUCUCUUGCCUGCCUCAGGCUCUUCCCAUUAUUCCUGAUGCCUCAGAGCCCAUGCUGUUUGUGGAGACAGGGUCACCUCUGUUCUGGUGAUGUGUCCGCCUUCCCAGGUUUCUGCGAACUGUCAGGUGCCCCUUCAACAUCCACUGGUGUCCCUUGAGUACCUUCUAAAUCCCCAACCUCCCGUUCUCCAUCUUCAGCUUGUCCUGGUGUGUCCCAAUCGUGGCUACACCCCUUGCCAGGAUCCUCUUCCCCUUCCUUGGUGUCCUGCCAGUUCAUGACAGUGUGUGAGGGGGGCGGGAUAUUCUAGACUCACUUCUCCUUUCACCAUUAAUUCUUGUUUAUUUACUUCAAUGAAUAAAGCUAUCAAUGGCUACUACCCCUGAUGCUAUGUUCUGCCUCCACCGCUGGUGGCAGUAUACUUCUGAAUAC
Podarcis lilfordi (Lilford's wall lizard) is the source of this 6885-nucleotide non-coding RNA. NCBI's taxonomy places the organism in Eukaryota, Metazoa, Chordata, Lepidosauria, Squamata, Lacertidae. The record is from the annotation of a GenBank genome assembly.